AUUGAACGCUGGCGGCAGGCCUAACACAUGCAAGUCGAGCGGAUGAAGGGAGCUUGCUCCUGGAUUCAGCGGCGGACGGGUGAGUAAUGCCUAGGAAUCUGCCUGGUUGUGUGGGAUAACGUCCGGUAACGGGCGCUAAUACCGCAUACGUCCUGAGGGAGCAAGUGGGGGAUCUUCGGACCUCACGCUAUCAGCUGAGCCUAGGUCGGAUUAGCUAGUUGGUGGGGUAAAGGCCUACCAAGGCGACGAUCCGUAACUGGUCUGAGAGGAUGAUCAGUCACACUGGAAGGGAGACACGGUCCAGACACCUACGGGAGGAAGCAGUGGGGAAGAGUGGACAAUGGGGGAAAGAAUGAUACAGGAAGGCCGCGUGUGAGAAGAAGGUCGUCGGAUUGUAAAGCACUUUAAGUUGGGAGGAAGGGCAGUAAGUUAAAACCUUGAUGUUUUGACGUUACCAACAGAAAAAGCACCGGCUAACUACGUG
RNAcentral lists this ribosomal RNA (484 nucleotides) under uncultured bacterium. RNAcentral's name for it is "partial 16S ribosomal RNA". It matches the Rfam family "Bacterial small subunit ribosomal RNA", at positions 29 to 507 of the family's 1533-position model. The record is from RNAcentral.